CAAUAGCGUAUAUUAAAGUUGUUGCAGUUAAAAAGCUCGUAGUUGGAUUUCUGGGAGGGUGCCGAUGUCCGCUUAACGUGUGUGCAGCGGCGCCCUCUCAUCCUUCUGUUAGCGUCUCUUGGCAUUCAUUUGCUGGUGGCGGGCUCAGAUAUUUUACCUUGAGAAAAUUAGAGUGUUUCAGGCAGGCUAGGCCGGAAUACAUUAGCAUGGAAUAAUGGAAUAGGACUACGGUCUCUUUGUUGGUUUGAGGGACUGCAGUAAUGAUUAAGAGGAACAGUUGGGGGCGAUUCGUAUUUCAUUGUCGGAGGUGAAAUUCUUGGAUUUAUUGAAAGACGAACUUCUGCGAAAGCAUUUGUCCAAGGAUGUUUUCUAUUAAUUCAAGAACGAAAGUUAGGGGGCGUCGAAGACGAUCAGAUACCAU
RNAcentral lists this ribosomal RNA (421 nucleotides) under uncultured eukaryote. RNAcentral describes it as "SSU rRNA". It matches the Rfam family "Eukaryotic small subunit ribosomal RNA", at positions 592 to 1018 of the family's 1831-position model. The record is from RNAcentral.